CAUUGCAUUUAUUUUGUAUUUAGAUGCCUGUUUGAACAGACAGCACCCACCACAAGUAUUUCAGCUUGCUGUGGGGACCUCGUGCCCCUGAGACUUUCAGCUUCUGUCAGCCCAUCCUCAUGUUACAAUGAUAAGAUGUUGCUCCCAGAGAAAAUAACAGCAGCAAAGCCUGGGAUCACUGUGCUGCUGCCAUCAGUAUUUCUGCAGUGAGACGUGAACUGUGCCUUACCUUUGUGAGUUUGAUUUACAUUUCAUUAAGUCUACUUUCUUCUGUGAGAAAGCACUUUCUUCUUAUUUGCAUAAAC
This 305-nucleotide long non-coding RNA is filed under the name Cyanistes caeruleus (blue tit). Its description in RNAcentral is "lncRNA (ENSCCEG00000000047.1)". The record is from RNAcentral. Lineage: Eukaryota; Metazoa; Chordata; Aves; Passeriformes; Paridae.